CCUACGGGAGGCAGCAGUGAGGAAUAUUGGUCAAUGGGCUUACGCCUGAACCAGCCAAGUCGCGUGAGGGAAUACUGCCCUAUGUGUUGUAAACCUCUUUUGUCAGGGAGCAACGCCGGCUACGUGUACCCGGACUGAGAGUACCUGAAGAAAAAGCAUCGGCUAACUCCGUGCCAGCAGCCGCGGUAAUACGGAGGAUGCGAGCGUUAUCCGGAUUUAUUGGGUUUAAAGGGUGCGUAGGCGGAAUGCCAAGUCAGCGGUAAAAUCGAGGUGCUCAACCUCGCCCCGCCGUUGACACUGGCGUUCUUGAGUGGGCGAGAAGUAUGCGGAAGGCGUGGGGUAGCGGGGAAAUGCAUAGAUAUCACGCAGAACUCCGAGUGCGAAGGCAGCAUACCGGCGCCCAAAUGACGCUGAAGCACGAAAGCGUGGGUAUCGAACAGGAUUAGAUACCCUUGUAGUC
Molecule: ribosomal RNA, 460 nt
Filed under: uncultured bacterium
Lineage: Bacteria
Description: partial 16S ribosomal RNA
Rfam family: Bacterial small subunit ribosomal RNA
Source: RNAcentral